This 261-nucleotide ribosomal RNA is filed under the name uncultured archaeon. RNAcentral describes it as "partial 16S ribosomal RNA". It matches the Rfam family "Archaeal small subunit ribosomal RNA", at positions 748 to 1009 of the family's 1478-position model. The record is from RNAcentral.
CAGCCCUAAACGAUGCGCGUUAGGUGUAUCGGUGACCACGAGUCACCGAGGUGCCGAAGGGAAACCGUGAAACGUGCCGCCUGGGAAGUACGGUCGCAAGGCUGAAACUUAAAGGAAUUGGCGGGGGAGCACAACAACGGGUGGAGCUUGCGGUUUAAUUGGAUUCAACGCCGGAAAUCUUACCGGGACCGACAGCAACAUGAAGGCCAAGCUGAAGACUUUGCCGGAUUAGCUGAGAGGAGGUGCAUGGCGUAGUCGUGU